Non-coding RNA from Salmo salar (Atlantic salmon), 74 nucleotides. The record is from Rfam. NCBI's taxonomy places the organism in Eukaryota, Metazoa, Chordata, Actinopteri, Salmoniformes, Salmonidae.
GUCUCUGUGGCGCAAUUGGUUAGUUCCUUAGACUGUUAAUCUAAAGUUUGGUGGUUCAAGCCCACCCGGGGACG